GGUUAGCUCAGACGGUAGAGCGCGGGACUUUCAAUCCAAGGUCAAGUGUUCAAGUCCCUUAUC
Molecule: transfer RNA, 63 nt
Filed under: Daphnia pulex (common water flea)
Lineage: Eukaryota; Metazoa; Arthropoda; Branchiopoda; Diplostraca; Daphniidae
Rfam family: tRNA
About the family: Transfer RNA (tRNA) molecules are approximately 80 nucleotides in length. Their secondary structure includes four short double-helical elements and three loops (D, anti-codon, and T loops).
Source: Rfam by way of RNAcentral